RNAcentral lists this long non-coding RNA (936 nucleotides) under Chrysolophus pictus (golden pheasant). Its description in RNAcentral is "lncRNA (ENSCPIG00010005189.1)". The record is from RNAcentral. Lineage: Eukaryota; Metazoa; Chordata; Aves; Galliformes; Phasianidae.
AGCUGGGCACGACAGCAAGUAAGGAGAGGUUCCUGAUGCCACCUCUUGCCGUUCCUCCAAGCCCCAAUGGGAACAAGCUCCCUGCUACGACCAGGACUCGAGAUGAAGCAUGGAGGAGAAUGCCCAAGGAGAGUUUCUCUGCGUGCGAGGGGGGAAAUGAGAAUUUCGUGCAGUGCUGAUUGCUGCACUUUUGUGCAGGAGGAGAGAGGGAGUGCAAAUGGAAAUCUUUGCUUUCUUCCCAAUCAAAAUAAAAACGUUCCUCACCAUGUUUUUCUGGACUGGGGAGAUUUCUGAAUUUACUUGUGAUGCACAGCUCUGUUUAUAAGCUCCCUUUAGGUACUGCAAGGCUACAGUGAGGUCUUCCCAUUGCCUCCUCUUCACCAGGAUACCCCAAAAUGUGAUAUUUCUGCUUUAGCUCAAGCUUGGAAGAUUUGGGAUGCUGAUGCAACGUUGAAAUCACCCAAUGCAAUACAAGUCCCUAUGGAAGGCAAUGCAAGACCUUGAAACAGAUGUUUAACAUACCUAAAACUGGAUGAAAUACCAUUGCUCUGUGCCAGGAAUUAUGAAGUAGGAUAUAGAUUUAAAAGGAAAAAAAAAGGAGAGAUUUUUGUAAUUAUUGUGGGAAGUUCUGUUGGAGCAACACUUAAUUAUUGAAACAGCCCUCUGGUACGAGCCACUGCUCAAACAUUGAUGGAUGAGAGCUGCUCAUCUCCCCAAGGAAAAUGAGAAUUUCAGUCUAGGAAGGCGAAGCUAUUUGUGAUAAUGGUGAUUGUGAUUAUAUGGCAAAGGUGCCUGGGACUGAACUGGUAACAAUUAAGGACUGAGGGUGUUUUGGGGGGACUCUUAUAUCAAGAAAACAGGGAAAUAGUUAUCUCAUGUGGUAUAGUUAUAACUAGAAAAAUAAUAAAAUGGAAUAGAGUGCAAUGAAGCUGGACA